RNAcentral lists this ribosomal RNA (468 nucleotides) under uncultured bacterium. RNAcentral describes it as "partial 16S ribosomal RNA". It matches the Rfam family "Bacterial small subunit ribosomal RNA", at positions 28 to 507 of the family's 1533-position model. The record is from RNAcentral.
GACGAACGCUGGCGGCGUGCUUAACACAUGCAAGUCGAACGGAAAGGCCCUGCUUUUGUGGGGUGCUCGAGUGGCGAAAGGGUGAGUAACACGUGAGUAACCUGCCCUUGACUUUGGGAUAACUUCAGGAAACUGGGGCUAAUACCGGAUAGGAGCUCCUGCUGCAUGGUGGGGGUUGGAAAGUUUCGGCGGUUGGGGAUGGACUCGCGGCUUAUCAGCUUGUUGGUGGGGUAGUGGCUUACCAAGGCUUUGACGGGUAGCCGGCCUGAGAGGGUGACCGGCCACAUUGGGACUGCGAUACGGCCCAGACUCCUACGGGAGGCAGCAGUGGAGAAUAUUGCACAAUGGGCGGAAGCCUGAUGCAGCAACGCCGCGUGCGGGAUGACGGCCUUCGGGUUGUAAACCGCUUUCGCCUUUGACGAAGCGUGAGUGACGGUAAUGGGUAAAGAAGCACCGGCUAACUACGUG